AUGUAGCUCAGUGAUACAGCAUUUGUCUAACAGGCAUGAGGUCCUGGGUUCAAUUCCCAGUAU
Molecule: transfer RNA, 63 nt
Filed under: Ictidomys tridecemlineatus (thirteen-lined ground squirrel)
Lineage: Eukaryota; Metazoa; Chordata; Mammalia; Rodentia; Sciuridae
Description: Spermophilus tridecemlineatus (thirteen-lined ground squirrel) tRNA
Rfam family: tRNA
About the family: Transfer RNA (tRNA) molecules are approximately 80 nucleotides in length. Their secondary structure includes four short double-helical elements and three loops (D, anti-codon, and T loops). Further hydrogen bonds mediate the characteristic L-shaped molecular structure. tRNAs have two regions of fundamental functional importance: the anti-codon, which is responsible for specific mRNA codon recognition, and the 3' end, to which the tRNAs corresponding amino acid is attached (by aminoacyl-tRNA synthetases). tRNAs cope with the degeneracy of the genetic code in two manners: having more than one tRNA (with a specific anti-codon) for a particular amino acid; and 'wobble' base-pairing, i.e. permitting non-standard base-pairing at the 3rd anti-codon position.
Source: Rfam by way of RNAcentral